GGAUGCGCGUGCUUACCAUGCAAGUCGAACGGUGAAGCAGAGCUUGCUCUGUGGAUCAGUGGCGAACGGGUGAGUAACACGUGAGCAACCUGCCCCUGACUCUGGGAUAAGCGCUGGAAACGGCGUCUAAUACUGGAUAUGAGCUGCGACCGCAUGGUCAGCAGUUGGAAAGAUUUUUCGGUCUGGGAUGGGCUCACGGCCUAUCAGCUUGUUGGUGAGGUAAUGGCUCACCAAGGCGUCGACGGGUAGCCGGCCUGAGAGGGUGACCGGCCACACUGGGACUGAGACACGGCCCAGACUCCUACGGGAGGCAGCAGUGGGGAAUAUUGCACAAUGGGCGAAAGCCUGAUGCAGCAACGCCGCGUGAGGGAUGACGGCCUUCGGGUUGUAAACCUCUUUUAGCAGGGAAGAAGCGAAAGUGACGGUACCUGCAGAAAAAGCGCCGGCUAACUACGUGCCAGCAGCCGCGGUAAUACGUAGGGCGCAAGCGUUAUCCGGAAUUAUUGGGCGUAAAGAGCUCGUAGGCGGUUUGUCGCGUCUGCUGUGAAAUCCCGAGGCUCAACCUCGGGUCUGCAGUGGGUACGGGCAGACUAGAGUGCGGUAGGGGAGAUUGGAAUUCCUGGUGUAGCGGUGGAAUGCGCAGAUAUCAGGAGGAACACCGAUGGCGAAGGCAGAUCUCUGGGCCGUUACUGACGCUGAGGAGCGAAAGGGUGGGGAGCAAACAGGCUUAGAUACCCUGGUAGUCCACCCCGUAAACGUUGGGAACUAGUUGUGGGGUCCAUUCCACGGAUUCCGUGACGCAGCUAACGCAUUAAGUUCCCCGCCUGGGGAGUACGGCCGCAAGGCUAAAACUCAAAGGAAUUGACGGGGACCCGCACAAGCGGCGGAGCAUGCGGAUUAAUUCGAUGCAACGCGAAGAACCUUACCAAGGCUUGACAUAUACGAGAACGGGCCAGAAAUGGUCAACUCUUUGGACACUCGUAAACAGGUGGUGCAUGGUUGUCGUCAGCUCGUGUCGUGAGAUGUUGGGUUAAGUCCCGCAACGAGCGCAACCCUCGUUCUAUGUUGCCAGCACGUAAUGGUGGGAACUCAUGGGAUACUGCCGGGGUCAACUCGGAGGAAGGUGGGGAUGACGUCAAAUCAUCAUGCCCCUUAUGUCUUGGGCUUCACGCAUGCUACAAUGGCCGGUACAAAGGGCUGCAAUACCGUGAGGUGGAGCGAAUCCCAAAAAGCCGGUCCCAGUUCGGAUUGAGGUCUGCAACUCGACCUCAUGAAGUCGGAGUCGCUAGUAAUCGCAGAUCAGCAACGCUGCGGUGAAUACGUUCCCGGGUCUUGUACACACCGCCCGUCAAGUCAUGAAAGUCGGUAACACCUGAAGCCGGUGGCCCAACCCUUGUGGAGGGAGCCGUCGAAGUGGAUGAGCCU
RNAcentral lists this ribosomal RNA (1425 nucleotides) under Microbacterium sp. HBUM178923. RNAcentral's name for it is "bacterial SSU rRNA". It matches the Rfam family "Bacterial small subunit ribosomal RNA". Lineage: Bacteria; Bacillati; Actinomycetota; Actinomycetes; Micrococcales; Microbacteriaceae. The record is from RNAcentral.